GACGAACGCUGGCGGCGUGCCUAACACAUGCAAGUCGAACGGGACUGGGGGCAACUCCAGUUCAGUGGCGGACGGGUGCGUAACACGUGAGGAACAUGACUUUCGGUGGGGGAUAGCCGGCCCAACGGCUGGGUAAUACCGCGUACGACCUUUCGGGGACAUCCCCGGUUGGUGAAAGCAGCAAUGCGCCGAAAGAGUGCCUCGCGGCCUAUCAGCUAGUUGGUGGGGUAACGGCCCACCAAGGCGACGACGGGUAGCUGGUCUGAGAGGAUGGCCAGCCACAUUGGGACUGAGACACGGCCCAGACUCCUACGGGAGGCAGCAGUGGGGAAUAUUGCGCAAUGGGCGAAAGUCUGACGCAGCGACGCCGCGUGGAGGAUGAAGGCCUUAGGGUCGUAAACUCCUUUUGAUAGUCUCUUCACGGACUAUAGAAUAAGCAUCUACAAACUACGUGCCAGCAGUCGCGGUAAUGCGUAGGAUGCAAGCGUUAUCCGGAUUCAUUGGGCGUAAAGUGUGCGUAGGCUGUCCGACGAGUCUUCCCUUAAAUAUUGAAGCUUAACUUCGAGUAUGGGGAAGAUACUGUCGGACUUGAGGAUUGACAGGGAUGUUGGAACAGCUAGAGUAGCAGUGAAAUGCGUUGAUAUUAGCUGGAACACCAAAGGCGAAGGCAAACAUCUAGGUUUUUCCCUGACGCUGAGGCACGAAAGCUAAGGUAGCGAAACAGAUUAGAUACCUGUGUAGUCUUAGCUGUAAACCAUGUUCGCUAGCUCUCACUUGCUCAGUCAAUAAGCUUUGUUGAUUGUGCUAGUGGGGGCG
This 816-nucleotide ribosomal RNA is filed under the name uncultured Gemmatimonadota bacterium. RNAcentral's name for it is "bacterial SSU rRNA". It matches the Rfam family "Bacterial small subunit ribosomal RNA", at positions 28 to 848 of the family's 1533-position model. The record is from RNAcentral. Lineage: Bacteria; Pseudomonadati; Gemmatimonadota.